This is a non-coding RNA of Sarcophilus harrisii (Tasmanian devil), 46 nucleotides long. The record is from Rfam. NCBI's taxonomy places the organism in Eukaryota, Metazoa, Chordata, Mammalia, Dasyuromorphia, Dasyuridae.
ACUUUGGAGCUUAUAAGCUCCAAAAAUUUUUACUUGGAAAAUCUAU